RNAcentral lists this ribosomal RNA (408 nucleotides) under bacterium enrichment culture clone ALO1_GLFRUDD03G2HI7. Its description in RNAcentral is "bacterial SSU rRNA". It matches the Rfam family "Bacterial small subunit ribosomal RNA", at positions 9 to 417 of the family's 1533-position model. The record is from RNAcentral.
GAGUUUGAUCGUGGCUCAGAUUGAACGCUGGCGGCAUGCCUUACACAUGCAAGUCGAACGGCAGCACGGGAGCUUGCUCCUGGUGGCGAGUGGCGAACGGGUGAGUAAUGCAUCGGAACGUAUCCUGGAGUGGGGGAUAACGUAGCGAAAGUUACGCUAAUACCGCAUAUUCUGUGAGCAGGAAAGCGGGGGACCUUCGGGCCUCGCGCUCUUGGAGCGGCCGAUGUCGGAUUAGCUAGUUGGUGAGGUAAAGGCUCACCAAGGCGACGAUCCGUAGCAGGUCUGAGAGGAUGAUCUGCCACACUGGAACUGAGGCACGGUCCAGACUCCUACGGGAGGCAGCAGUGGGGAAUUUUGGACAAUGGGGGCAACCCUGAUCCAGCCAUGCCGCGUGAGUGAAGAAGGCCU